AUGGAAGGCGAGAAGCUAGAAGAGUGCGGGUACCUGCAUCUUGAUGAUUCCUCUCACUUGCUGCACACCAUUGUGCAUGCGAACGGCUAUGGGCAUCUUCUCCGAGUAAAUGGCCGUGAGGGUGGGUCGAGGCACCUUACUGGUCGUGACAUAAUGAGCUUCCGGGAUCGCCUGUGCAAGGUGUUGCAUGUGAGGAAGGUCACUGUCAUGGACAUAUCCAAGAAGCACAGAAUGGACCACAGGCUUUUGCAUGCCAUCACAACUGGGCAUCCAUGGUAUGGUGAAUGGGGAUACAAGUUUGGUGCCGGUAGCUUUGCUCAUACCUCAGAUACCUACCAGGAGGCGGUUGAUCGCUUGCUGUUGCACCAGAAAGUAUAUACUUCCAUCACCCUCUCCAAUUCAAAUGGCUGA
Molecule: ribosomal RNA, 411 nt
Filed under: Triticum aestivum (bread wheat)
Lineage: Eukaryota; Viridiplantae; Streptophyta; Magnoliopsida; Poales; Poaceae
Description: partial small subunit ribosomal RNA
Source: RNAcentral